GCCAAAGGCGGAAAUAAUUUUAAAAGAUUUUUAAUAACAUUAUGAGUUUUCUUUUCUUGUCUAUCCAGAUAUGGAGGAAGGCCAUUUCAUGCAAUUAAUUCUUCAAACAAAGAUGGUACUGUUUCCAUCCUUCCACCACACGGUGGGCUCUGUUUUUCCCGACACUCUGCAAGAGCAAAGUUGAAUUGACAACACUCAUAUUCCUAUAGUGCAUAACUGGAACUUGGAAUCCCUUAUUCCUGUGUGGUCCAGCAUGGAUCUUUGCAGACCAGGUUUCUUAGUCCUAAAUUAAUAAGAAGGAUUGCACUGGUCACUCCAAUCCUUACUAAAAACACAAGACACUGAAGAUUGCCAGAUUCACCUAGGCAGAGCAACUGUCUGGAAACUUGUAAUUCUAAAACACUACUGAAGACAAGAAGGUCUGGCUUUGAUCAGUGCUUGAAUGAGAAGCUACAUUUGCAACUCGCUCUGUGCUGUUUUCCACUGUAUGGUGGAAGAAAGGCCUAAGCUAUGAUCCAAAGAGCUAAUCUUAGGUACAUCCAAGGGCUCAAUCAUGCUAAUGGGAUGUUCAGCCUUUUUUCUUCAAAUAACCAACUACUGCUUUUGAAAGUUGCUUUAAUUCCAAAUGUCAUUUGCAAUGUAGCACAGCAGAGAACAGCUUGCAUCUCAAGUCUUCAACCCUCUCUGGAUAUUGGGACAUAGUUACAUAGGUGGUAUUCUACUGUGGAACAUGAGUUUCACUUACCAAUAAUGCAGAGAACAAAUUUUCCAGAUAUCUGCAAAGCUUGUGGGACAGCCAACCUUUUUCAGUCAAGAAUACUGAUACCUUUAACAGCAAUUAUUAACUGACACUUUUCAUGGCUGUUCUUAGUCAUAAGAACCCUGGUAAGAAAAAUGAAUUGAAAAUCCUAGGAGCUAAACAGGAAUGCUGCGAAGUUUAUGCAGGGACAUAGCCAGGAUUUUGGGAAGGGGGGGUCCACACUAAGUGCCACCAUUGGGUGUGGUGGCGCAGUGGCACACACCAUUCGUUUUAUCUAAUGGGGGGGGGGGUCCAGACCCCAAGACCCCCCCUCCCUUGGCUACAUCCCUGGUGUAUGGGGAUGCUCAGGGGCAAAACCUCCCCGUUCCCACUUUUGUUUCUUUAGUUAACUGUCUUCAAGUUAACUUCAACUCAUGGUUUGCCCUUGGCUUACUUCGAUUGCUGCAAACUAAGUCCUGGUGCACACUUGUGAAAGAAACUGUGAGGAGGAGGAGAGAGCAACUGGGAAAUUUUUAAAGCAGCUAAAACAAAUGGCAUAACGUAAGAUUAACUGAGACUGUCCCUGCUAAAUUGAGAACUCUUUAGCCUGGGUGUUGGCUUCCAUGAGUUCUGCUUGGGCAACCUUCUGUGGAACAUGUUAGCAAACAGACUACAUCACAACAGAGCAACCUCUUGUAUUUCUGCUGCUAGCAAUUUGUUGCAUCCAAGCCAUCACAAUUUAUUUGUUUGGAUAUACUAGCUCUUAAUCCACUGAAUAUUAUUCAUGUGAGAGAAAAAUGAGGCUUAGUGUUGUUUGACUUGCUUCCAGAUGACGCUGUUAUUAAUUAAUAUGUGAGUAUAUAUCAACUUGUCAGUUUUUCUUAUCAAAACUUUUCCAGAACUGAAGCUCAAAGACCUCUUUGUUUACAGCAGCAAGGCUGAAAGCUAGAAGAAAUACAGCUACAUAUAUAGAACAUUGUGUAUGCAGUAUCUUAUCAGCUGCAUUUCUGAAAGCAAAAGAGACCUAAUCUGAAUUAUUUGUUUUUUUUGAAGUUUUGAAAUGUGGCUAACUAGCUUUUGUUGCUGUUGGGUGCUUUCAAGUCAUUUCCAACUUAUGGUGACCCUAAGGCAAUUCUAUCAUAGGGUUUUCUUGGCAAGUUUUUUUCAUUGCUAUCCUUUGAGCCUGAGAGACUGUGACUUGUCUAUAGCCAGCCAAUUGCCGAGCCAGGAUUCAAACCCUGACCUCACAGUGUCCCAGUCCAAUGCCCAAACAUUGCACACAAUGGCCAUCUUUAAUUACUACCGUCUCAUUUAUUAUCCAUAGUAUACCUUGGAAAUUGUACACCUUAAAAAAAUGAUGAUGUAUCUUUUCUAUGGCAUCCCUCUUACUGUUAAAGUAAGAUACAAAGGAUGUGUUCAAGUGUUAAUCUCCACACACAAAAACUAAAACUGAGUAAAUUUUGGGUGUACACAACUCUUUGGAUGCCAGGGCUCUCAGGACUUCUGUGCAUUUAGUAUGAAAGUUUGGAGGGUACUGUAAAUAUGUUUGUCCUAUGAAUGCACAAAUCUCAACAUGAAUUGAAACCGCGCUUUCUGUGCUUCCAUAGUUAUAACCCUCCAUUUGAACAUGCUCUCAAGCCACCUUCAGAAUUUAGUGCUAAAUAUGAAAAGGCUGAAGGAGGAUCUAGUUUCAUGGGGACAUUGGAGAAAGGAUUUUCGGAUAUGCCUCCACCAUCAGCACACUUUUAGGCCUUAUACAAGCAGGAUGGCCACCUGCUUUUCUAUGUGAAUAUGAUGGACACGAGAAUGACUGUCCCAUCAUCCCAUUCUGUUUAAUUUAACCCCCAGAUGAGGGUGAAAACCUCCUUGAUUUUCUGACUUUUGCUCAAAGAAGUAGCACUUUGCCAGUAUAUGUAUAUCCCAGCAAUACCAUGUUUUAAUGUCUUAUUUAAGUGAGACUUUUCUUUAAAAAUCAUGCAUAAAAUUAGGUUGUUUCUUUAAACUAAUGAGUCCCAAGACAGCACAAGAUUUGGUGAUGUGUGAAAUAUAGUAAUGUUAAUGAGAUGUGUUAUCUCCCAAUCUCAGUGUGUAACACCAUAUACUCUCCUGAAUGCAUAUCUAAUGGAACAGCUCAUAAAGAUGUCAAGGGAGGUGAAAUAGACAGAUCCUAACUGGGUGAAUAUGGGUCACACACAUGAGCCAUUACUACCCAGACUUUGACUAAUCUAGAUCUUCUGGCCUCAUUUAUGAUUUCUGGAGACCCUGAACAUCAUCAUUUUCAUUUCUGUUCUGAAACGAUCCUCUCCAAAAUCCUGUCCCACCAUCUCACCGCGUGGGAGUGACUCUGGGGCCUCAGGAAAUGUCAGUGGAGUGCAAGUUGGUAAGGCUAUGACUGUGGCCACAGUGGGAGUGUGCAGGUCUGCCAUCCAGGGACCCAACUAAAUAUGGAGAGGCUCAUCACCACAAAGUUAGCCACCAUGUGACAAAUUGUCCAUAGCAACUGUGAACUGAGUGAUAAUGAAUUAGCUAUAGCAGCAAUGAACACAAAGAGAAAGUGGAAAUAGUUGUGAUUCGUAUCAGUGGCAAGACUAUCUGCAUGAAUGAAAUCAUGGAACUUGAAAAUAUUCAAAGUUUAAAACAA
Long non-coding RNA from Sceloporus undulatus (fence lizard), 3380 nucleotides. RefSeq lists it as uncharacterized. The transcript is spliced from 4 exons. The record is from RefSeq and is a predicted model, not a curated record. Lineage: Eukaryota; Metazoa; Chordata; Lepidosauria; Squamata; Phrynosomatidae.